AAGGCCUUCGGGUUGUAAACUGCUUUUGUACGGAACGAAACGGUUCGCCUUAAUACGGUGGGCUAAUGACGGUACCGUAAGAAUAAGCACCGGCUAACUACGUGCCAGCAGCCGCGGUAAUACGUAGGGUGCGAGCGUUAAUCGGAAUUCCUGGGCGUAAAGCGUGCGCAGGCGGUUAUAUAAGACGGAUGUGAAAUCCCCGGGCUCAACCUGGGACCUGCAUUUGUGACUGUAUAGCUAGAGUACGGUAGAGGGGGAUGGAAUUCCGCGUGUAGCAGUGAAAUGCGUAGAUAUGCGGAGGAACACCGAUGGCGAAGGCAAUCCCCUGGACCUGUACUGACGCUCAUGCACAAAAGCGUGGGGAGCAAACAGGAUUAGAUACCCUGGUAGA
Molecule: ribosomal RNA, 391 nt
Filed under: uncultured Rhodoferax sp.
Lineage: Bacteria; Pseudomonadati; Pseudomonadota; Betaproteobacteria; Burkholderiales; Comamonadaceae
Description: bacterial SSU rRNA
Rfam family: Bacterial small subunit ribosomal RNA
Source: RNAcentral